This 557-nucleotide ribosomal RNA is filed under the name uncultured bacterium. RNAcentral's name for it is "bacterial SSU rRNA". It matches the Rfam family "Bacterial small subunit ribosomal RNA", at positions 34 to 616 of the family's 1533-position model. The record is from RNAcentral.
CGCUGGCGGCAUGCCUAACACAUGCAAGUCGGACGCUUGUCGGGCUUCGGUCCGGCGGGAGUGGCGCACGGGUGAGUAGCGCGUGGGAACCUGCCCUGUUGUGGGGGAUAACCGAGGGAAACUUCGGCUAAUACCGCAUGCGCCCGCGGAGUUGAUCCGCGGGGAAAGAUUUAUCGCAGCAGGAGGGGCCCGCGUCGGAUUAGCUGGUUGGCGGGGUAACGGCCCACCAAGGCGAUGAUCCGUAGCUGGUCUGAGAGGAUGAUCAGCCACACUGGGACUGAGACACGGCCCAGACUCCUACGGGAGGCAGCAGUGGGGAAUAUUGGACAAUGGGCGCAAGCCUGAUCCAGCAAUGCCGCGUGAGUGAUGAAGGCCUUCGGGUUGUAAAGCUCUUUCGCCCGCGACGAUGAUGACGGUAGCGGGAGAAGAAGCCCCGGCUAACUUCGUGCCAGCAGCCGCGGUAAUACGAAGGGGGCGAGCGUUGUUCGGAAUCACUGGGCGUAAAGGGCGCGUUACGCGGCCUCCUUGUCGCGUGUGAAAGCCCCGGGCUCAACCUG